CAGUCGCCGCGGUAAUACGGAGGGUGCAAGCGUUAAUCGGAAUUACUGGGCGUAAAGCGCACGCAGGCGGUCUGUCAAGUCAGAUGUGAAAUCCCCGGGCUUAACCUGGGAACUGCAUUUGAAACUGGCAGGCUAGAGUCUUGUAGAGGGGGGUAGAAUUCCAGGUGUAGCGGUGAAAUGCGUAGAGAUCUGGAGGAAUACCGGUGGCGAAGGCGGCCCCCUGGACAAAGACUGACGCUCAGGUGCGAAAGCGUGGGGAGCAAACAGGAUUAGAUACCCGUGUAGUCCCUGUCUCUUAUAC
Molecule: ribosomal RNA, 301 nt
Filed under: uncultured bacterium
Lineage: Bacteria
Description: partial 16S ribosomal RNA
Rfam family: Bacterial small subunit ribosomal RNA
Source: RNAcentral